CAAAAACUCAACUGUCCUUCCCAUAACUAACAACAAAAUAUCAAUAAUAAUUUCCCAUUUUUUUCAGCCAUUGUUUGUACCUUUGAUAAUACACACACAGAGAAAGAGGGUUUAAAUGGACGGUGGUGAUGUAACUAAGGAGGGGAAAGUGACGUGUGCAUCAUGGAUCAAACGGCCAGAAAACGCGCAUCUGGUUGUGAUUGGAAAGUCCUCUUCGCUCGAGAUUUUCUCAUUUGAUACAGAGACUACUUCUCUUUCUGCUAAUCCCAAGGCGAAGUAUGUGUUCGAGGAAAGUGGUGAUCCAGUGCGCAUUGCAGUACAUCCUAGUGGGGACGAAUUUGUGUGCUCAACCACUACUGGUUGCAAGUUGUUUGAGUUAUAUGGUCAUGAAGAUAAUAUAAAACUUGUGCGCAAGGAGUUUGAUCUCGAAGAUGUUGGCCCACAAAAAUGCAUGGCCUUUAGUGUUGAUGGCUCCAAAUUAGCCACAGGCGGAGUUGAUGGACAUUUCAGACUUUUUGAGUGGCCAACUAUGCGCAUUAUUGUGGAUGAACCUAAAGCUCACAAGUCAUUCAGAGACAUGGAUUUCAGCUUAGAUUCAGAAUUCUUAGCUUCCACAUCCACAGAUGGUGCUGCCAGAAUAUGGAACACAAGCGACGGUGUUCCAAUAACUUUAACACGAAAUUCAGAUGAGAAUAUUGAGCUCUGCAGGUUUUCUAAAGAUGGGACAAAACCGUUUUUGUUCACUACUGUUCAGAAAGGCAAUAAGACAUUAAUUGCAGUUUGGGACAUCACUACAUGGAAGAAAAUUGGACAUAAAAGCCUGUUAAAAAAGCCAGCUUCCAUUAUGUCAAUUAGUUUGGAUGGGAAAUAUCUUGCAUUGGGAAGCAAAGAUGGUGAUGUCUGUGUUGUUGAAGUGAAAAAGAUGGAGAUCUCCUCCUUGCACAAGAGAGUGCACUUGGGUACCAAUAUCACUUCUUUGGAGUUUUGUCCUAGUGAAAGGGUUGCUCUUACCACUUCCUCUCAAUGGGGAGCAAUGGUGACUAAGUUAAAUGUCCCAGCUGAUUGGAAAGAGUGGCAGAUUUAUCUAUUACUCUUGGGAUUAUUUUUGGCAUCAGCUAUUCUAUUUUACGUGUUCUUUGAGAAUUCAGAUUCUUUCUGGAACUUCCCUGAUCCAUCUUCAAGACCAAAGAUUGAAACUCUACAUGGAGAUCCAACAUCUGAUGAACAAUGGAGCAGCUUUGGGCCUGUAGAUUUUCUAUUCCAAUGGAUUCACAUCAGCAACGUCCAGUUAUGAAACUUGAUGGAAAGAACUAUUUUUUGUGGGCUUCAUAUUUUCGUAAUUUUCUUGAGGGCAAAGAGCUUUUGGUUCACGUCACCUCAUCUAAACCAGCAGCCACGACUGACAAUCCUGCAGUCAUCUCCAAAUGGUGUGUGUCUGAUGCAAAGGAUCUGUGGACCGGGAAAGUGAUUGGUCGAGGCCGUAGACAAGGGGAACUGUUCAUCUUGGAUUUGGGCUCGUCCUCCGACUCUCACAAGUGCUUCCUUGCUCCGUCUUCUUAUGAGAUUGCGUCAACCAAUGCUCUUUGGAAAAUAUGGCAUAGGCAGUUGGGACAUCCUCAUACUCAGAAUCUCAAGUCAUUGUUUUCCUCUGGCGAUUUGUUGUCUAAAAUUGAUUUUAAGAAUAAUGUUAGUAUUGAUUGUGAAUCAUGUGCUCUUGCAAAAUCACGUUUGUGCCAUUUAGUAAAAGUAUUCAUCA
Molecule: RNA transcript, 1756 nt
Organism: Lycium ferocissimum
Lineage: Eukaryota; Viridiplantae; Streptophyta; Magnoliopsida; Solanales; Solanaceae
Gene name: SEC12-like protein 1
Exons: 12
Source: RefSeq, a predicted model, not a curated record